CGCACAUUGCGCCCCUCGGCAUUCCGGGGGGCAUGCCUGUUCGAGCGUCAUUACACCCCUCAAGCGUAGCUUGGUAUUGGACGCUCGCGGGCUCUUUUAUAAGGGCUCGCGACUCCGAAAAGCAGUGGCGGUCCCCGAGGAUUUCGCGCGUAGUAAAUGUUAUCCCGCGUUGGAAAGAAUCGGUGGGCUUGCCAAAACUCUUCAUAAUCUCCAUGAUUGACCUCGGAUCAGGUAGGGAUACCCGCUGAACUUAA
Molecule: unclassified non-coding RNA, 254 nt
Filed under: Cladonia magyarica
Lineage: Eukaryota; Fungi; Ascomycota; Lecanoromycetes; Lecanorales; Cladoniaceae
Description: partial contains 5.8S ribosomal RNA, internal transcribed spacer 2, and large subunit ribosomal RNA
Source: RNAcentral